Molecule: ribosomal RNA, 248 nt
Filed under: uncultured bacterium
Lineage: Bacteria
Description: partial 16S ribosomal RNA
Rfam family: Bacterial small subunit ribosomal RNA
Source: RNAcentral
CGGACGGCGAACGGGUGAGUAACACGUGGGUAACCCACCCUUGGUAUCCGGAUAGCCCGGGGAAACCCGGAUUAAUACGGAAUGGCCCAACAGCCUCUCGAGGCGGUUGGAAAAGGUAGCUUCGGCCUCCGACCAAGGACGGGCCCGCGGCGGAUUAGCUUGUUGGUGAGGUAACGGCUCACCAAGGCGACGAUCCGUAGCUGGUCUGAGAGGAUGAUCAGCAUCACUGGGACUGAGACACGGCCCAG